GGAAGGGCCAUAGCUCAGUGGCAGAAUGUUUACUUUACAAGCAGAACUUCCCAGGUUCAGUCCCUGGAGGGACUCCUUCCU
This is a non-coding RNA of Podarcis lilfordi (Lilford's wall lizard), 81 nucleotides long. Lineage: Eukaryota; Metazoa; Chordata; Lepidosauria; Squamata; Lacertidae. The record is from the annotation of a GenBank genome assembly.